This 361-nucleotide long non-coding RNA is filed under the name Sorghum bicolor (sorghum). Its description in RNAcentral is "long non-coding RNA (SBIC_LNC016346)". The record is from RNAcentral. Lineage: Eukaryota; Viridiplantae; Streptophyta; Magnoliopsida; Poales; Poaceae.
AUAUAUGAUAUUUAACAAUCUGGAAAGCUUAUGAAAUUACAAACAAGUUUUAUUUAGAUCAUACCAUGAUAUUAUGGACGUAUGAUAACAUAAAACUGAAUGUAUCUAACUGUGUCCUGAUUUCUGACAGCACAAAUGCAUCAACAAACAACGACCAUAUCUCUUAGACCAUAAGGGCUACAAGAGUGAUCAUUACGCCAAAAGAAAGAUAUUGAAGUCUGCUGCUUGAAUAUAAUUUACCUACGAUUUUUAGAUAUAUAAACAUAGCCCAAAACAGCAUACAACUUACAACUGCGCAAUCUGGAAAAAACUGCAGGGCCUAAUUUCGAGAUUAGAACCCUAACUCGUCAAUUAAUCCAAG